GCGUCCGAUUAGCUAGUUGGUGAGGUAAUGGCCCACCAAGGCUUAGAUCGGUAGCCGGCCUGAGAGGGCGCACGGCCACACUGGAACUGAGACACGGUCCAGACUCCUACGGGAGGCAGCAGUGGGGAAUCUUGCACAAUGGACGAAAGUCUGAUGCAGCAACGCCGCGUGGGGGAUGAAGCUUCUCGGAGUGUAAACCCCUUUCGACCCGGAAGAAUGCCCGCAAGGGUAUGACGGUACGGGUAUAAGAAGCCCCGGCUAACUACGUGCCAGCAGCCGCGGUAAUACGUAGGGGGCGAGCGUUGUCCGGAAUUAUUGGGCGUAAAGAGCUCGUAGGCGGCUUAGCAAGUCACGUGUGAAAUCUCCAGGCUCAACCUGGUGAUGCCACGUGAGACUGCUAUGGCUAGAGUCCGGUAGGGGACCAUGGAAUUCCUGGUGUAGCGGUGAAAUGCGCAGAUAUCAGGAGGAACACCAGUGGCGAAGGCGGUGGUCUGGGCCGGAACUGACGCUGAGGAGCGAAAGCGUGGGGAGCGAACAGGAUUAGAUACCCUGGUAGUCCACGCUGUAAACGAUGGGUACUAGGUGUUCGGGGUAUUGACCCCCUGAGUGCCGACGCUAACGCAUUAAGUACCCCGCCUGGGGACUACGGCCGCAAGGUUAAA
Molecule: ribosomal RNA, 662 nt
Filed under: uncultured soil bacterium
Lineage: Bacteria
Description: bacterial SSU rRNA
Rfam family: Bacterial small subunit ribosomal RNA
Source: RNAcentral